This 440-nucleotide ribosomal RNA is filed under the name uncultured bacterium. RNAcentral's name for it is "partial 16S ribosomal RNA". It matches the Rfam family "Bacterial small subunit ribosomal RNA", at positions 338 to 795 of the family's 1533-position model. The record is from RNAcentral.
CCUACGGGAGGCAGCAGUGGGGAAUAUUGCACAAUGGGGGAAACCCUGAUGCAGCGACGCCGCGUGAGUGAAGAAGUAUCUCGGUACGGAAAGCCCUAUCAGCAGGGAAGAAAAUGACGGUACCUGACUAAGAAGCCCCGGCUAACUACGUGCCAGCUGCCGCGGGAAUACGUAGGGGGCAAGCGUUAUACGGAUUUACUGGGCGUAAAGGGAGCGUAGACGGGAGAACAAGUCUGGAGUGAAAUCCCGGGGCUUAACCCCGGAACUGCUUUUGAAACUGUGCGGCUGGAGUGCAGGAGGGGUAAGCGGAAUGCCUGGUGUAGCGGUGAAAUGCGUAGAUAUUAGGAGGAACACCGGUGGCGAAGGCGGCUUACUGGACUGUAACUGACGUUGAUGCUCGAAAGCGUGGGGAGCAAACAGGAUUAGAUACCCGAGUAGUC